This 128-nucleotide small nuclear RNA is filed under the name Rodentolepis nana. RNAcentral describes it as "Hymenolepis nana U5 spliceosomal RNA". The stretch from base 1 to 112 matches the Rfam family "U5 spliceosomal RNA". From Rfam's summary of the family: U5 RNA is a component of both types of known spliceosome. The precise function of this molecule is unknown, though it is known that the 5' loop is required for splice site selection and p220 binding, and that both the 3' stem-loop and the Sm site are important for Sm protein binding and cap methylation. The record is from Rfam by way of RNAcentral. Lineage: Eukaryota; Metazoa; Platyhelminthes; Cestoda; Cyclophyllidea; Hymenolepididae.
UGUGUUCGACAUCUCCUCGGUUGCGCACAAAUCUUUCGCCUUUUACUAAAGAUUUCCUUGUGGAGGCGCAACACAAUGGGUUUGUAGAUCCAUUUUUGGGCUGCCCCGACUCUUGUCUUUUCCAGUUC